RNAcentral lists this ribosomal RNA (433 nucleotides) under uncultured bacterium. Its description in RNAcentral is "partial 16S ribosomal RNA". It matches the Rfam family "Bacterial small subunit ribosomal RNA", at positions 29 to 507 of the family's 1533-position model. The record is from RNAcentral.
AGCGAACGCUGGCGGCAGGCUUAACACAUGCAAGUCGAGCGGGCCCUUCGGGGUCAGCGGCCGACGGGUGAGUAACACGUGGGAACGUACCCUUUGGUUCGGAAUAACGCUGGGAAACUAGCGCUAAUACCGGAUACGCCCUUUUGGGGAAAGGCUUGCUGCCCAAGGAUCGGCCCGCGUCUGAUUAGCUAGUUGGUGGGGUAAUGGCCUACCACGGCGACGAUCAGUAGCUGGUCUGAGAGGAUGAUCAGCCACACUGGGACUGAGACACGGCCCAGACUCCUACGGGAGGGAGGAGUGGGGAAUAGUGGACAACGGGCGCAAGGCUGAUGGAGCCAGGCCGGGAGAGUGAUGAAGGCCUUAGGGUUGUAAAGCUCUUUUGUCCGGGACGAUAAUGACGGUACCGGAAGAAUAAGCCCCGGCUAACUUCGUG